This 246-nucleotide long non-coding RNA is filed under the name Lathyrus oleraceus (garden pea). Its description in RNAcentral is "Pisum sativum (pea) long non-coding RNA (PSAT_LNC007010)". Lineage: Eukaryota; Viridiplantae; Streptophyta; Magnoliopsida; Fabales; Fabaceae. The record is from RNAcentral.
GACAAACGAGCGUUUCUGGUUGAGUGGUAAGCCAUCGUCUUGCAUUCCCAAAGUCAUCAGUUUGAUCCCUGGCGUUGGCCUAACUCGGUUUUACUUGUCCCUUUUUUUACAUUUUUCAUUUUCCUAGUAAAAUUCGUAUUACAUAUCCAUGAGUGAAAUCAACUUAGGAUUGAUCAUUCAUGACCUAGUGGUAGAGGCAUUUAGUGCUUCCUACUAGGUCAUGGGUUCGACCCUUGUGCAACUCAC